UCCGGAUUAGCUCAGCGGUAGAGCAGUGGACUGUUAAUCCAUGGGUCGUUGGUUCGAAUCCGACAUCCGGAG
RNAcentral lists this transfer RNA (72 nucleotides) under Chlamydiia bacterium. RNAcentral's name for it is "tRNA-Asn". It matches the Rfam family "tRNA". From Rfam's summary of the family: Transfer RNA (tRNA) molecules are approximately 80 nucleotides in length. Their secondary structure includes four short double-helical elements and three loops (D, anti-codon, and T loops). The record is from RNAcentral. Lineage: Bacteria; Pseudomonadati; Chlamydiota; Chlamydiia.